UUGGAUUUCUGUUUUGAAGAAUGGGUCGUGCCCAAACGGGUUCUGNACUUUUUUCUUCGNAACAUCCUCGNAGUUANCGUGUCUGCCAUUCACUUGGUGGGCUCGGGACCUUCGUCAUUUACUGNGAGCAAAAUANAGUGNUCAAAGCNGNCUUAGGCCAUGAAUAUAUUAGCAUGGAAUAAUAAGAUNGGACCUUGGUCUAUUUUGNUGGUUUACAUUCCAAGGUAAUGAUUAAUAGGGAUAGUUGGGGGUAUUCGUAUUCAAUUGUCAGAGGNGAAAUUCUUGGAUUUAUGAAAGACGAACUACUGCGAAAGCAUUUACCAAAGAUGUUNUCAUUAAUCACAGAACGAAAGUUAGG
Molecule: ribosomal RNA, 358 nt
Filed under: uncultured marine picoplankton
Lineage: Eukaryota
Description: 18S ribosomal RNA
Rfam family: Eukaryotic small subunit ribosomal RNA
Source: RNAcentral